Molecule: ribosomal RNA, 425 nt
Filed under: uncultured bacterium
Lineage: Bacteria
Description: partial 16S ribosomal RNA
Rfam family: Bacterial small subunit ribosomal RNA
Source: RNAcentral
GUGGGGAAUCUUGCGCAAUGGGCGAAAGCCUGACGCAGCCAUGCCGCGUGAAUGAUGAAGGUCUUAGGAUUGUAAAAUUCUUUCACCGGGGGCGAUAAUGACGGUACCCGGAGAAGAAGCCCCGGCUAACUUCGUGCCAGCAGCCGCGGUAAUACGAAGGGGGCUAGCGUUGCUCGGAAUUACUGGGCGUAAAGGGCGCGUAGGCGGACAGUUUAGUCAGAGGUGAAAGCCCAGGGCUCAACCUUGGAAUUGCCUUUGAUACUGGCUGUCUUGAGUACGGGAGAGGUGAGUGGAACUCCGAGUGUAGAGGUGAAAUUCGUAGAUAUUCGGAAGAACACCAGUGGCGAAGGCGACUCACUGGCCCGUUACUGACGCUGAGGCGCGAAAGCGUGGGGAGCAAACAGGAUUAGAUACCCUAGUAGUCC